UACGGGGGGGGCAAGCGUUGUUCGGAAUUACUGGGCGUAAAGGGCUCGUAGGCGGCCAACUAAGUCGGACGUGAAAUCCCUCGGCUUAACCGGGGAACUGCGUCCGAUACUGGAUGGCUCGAGUUUGGGAGAGGGAUGCGGAAUUCCAGGUGUAGCGGUGAAAUGCGUAGAUAUCUGGAGGAACACCGGUGGCGAAGGCGGCUUCUUGGGCCGUUUCUGACGCUGAUGCGCGAAAGCCAGGGGAGCGAACAGG
This 253-nucleotide ribosomal RNA is filed under the name uncultured bacterium. RNAcentral describes it as "partial 16S ribosomal RNA". It matches the Rfam family "Bacterial small subunit ribosomal RNA", at positions 524 to 776 of the family's 1533-position model. The record is from RNAcentral.